AGAUUGAACGCUGGCGGCAGGCCUAACACAUGCAAGUCGAGCGGUAGAGAGGUGCUUGCAUCUCUUGAGAGCGGCGGACGGGUGAGUAAUGCCUAGGAAUCUGCCUAGUGGUGGGGGAUAACGUUCGGAAACGGACGCUAAUACCGCAUACGUCCUACGGGAGAAAGCGGGGGACCUUCGGGCCUCGCGCCAUUAGAUGAGCCUAGGUCGGAUUAGCUAGUUGGUGAGGUAAUGGCUCACCAAGGCGACGAUCCGGUAACUGGUCUGAGAGGAUGAUCAGUCACACUGGAACUGAGACACGGUCCAGACUCCGUACGGGAGCAGCAGUGGGAAUAGUUGGACAAGUGGGACAAAGCCUGAUCCAGCAAUCGCCGCGUGAGUGAUGGAAGGUCCUUAGGGUUGAAACGUCUUCCGUUUACCGGAUGAUAAUGAC
This 433-nucleotide ribosomal RNA is filed under the name uncultured soil bacterium. RNAcentral describes it as "bacterial SSU rRNA". It matches the Rfam family "Bacterial small subunit ribosomal RNA", at positions 26 to 455 of the family's 1533-position model. The record is from RNAcentral.